RNAcentral lists this ribosomal RNA (468 nucleotides) under uncultured bacterium. RNAcentral describes it as "partial 16S ribosomal RNA". It matches the Rfam family "Bacterial small subunit ribosomal RNA", at positions 28 to 507 of the family's 1533-position model. The record is from RNAcentral.
GACGAACGCUGGCGGCGUGCUUAACACAUGCAAGUCGAACGGAAAGGCCCUGCUUUUGUGGGGUGCUCGAGUGGCGAACGGGUGCGUAACACGUGAGUAACCUGCCCUUGACUUUGGGAUAACUUCAGGAAACUGGGGCUAAUACCGGAUAGGAGCUCCUGCUGCAUGGUGGGGGUUGGAAAGUUUCGGCGGUUGGGGAUGGACUCGCGGCUUAUCAGCUUGUUGGUGGGGUAGUGGCUUACCAAGGCUUUGACGGGUAGCCGGCCUGAGAGGGUGACCGGCCACAUUGGGACUGAGCUACGGCCCAGACUCCUACGGGAGGCAGCAGUGGGGAAUAGUGCACAAUGGGCGGAAGCCUGAUGCAGCAACGCCGCGUGCGGGAUGACGGCCUUCGGGUUGUAAACCGCUUUCGCCUGUGACGAAGCGUGAGUGACGGUAAUGGGUAAAGAAGCACCGGCUAACUACGUG